GCAGUAGCUCAGUGGUAGAGCUAUCGGCUGUUAACCGAUCGGUCGUAGGUUCGAGUCCUACAAGGUCCACCA
Molecule: transfer RNA, 72 nt
Filed under: Bacillus cereus
Lineage: Bacteria; Bacillati; Bacillota; Bacilli; Caryophanales; Bacillaceae
Also listed under: 1 other name
Description: tRNA-Asn
Rfam family: tRNA (bases 5-61)
About the family: Transfer RNA (tRNA) molecules are approximately 80 nucleotides in length. Their secondary structure includes four short double-helical elements and three loops (D, anti-codon, and T loops). Further hydrogen bonds mediate the characteristic L-shaped molecular structure. tRNAs have two regions of fundamental functional importance: the anti-codon, which is responsible for specific mRNA codon recognition, and the 3' end, to which the tRNAs corresponding amino acid is attached (by aminoacyl-tRNA synthetases). tRNAs cope with the degeneracy of the genetic code in two manners: having more than one tRNA (with a specific anti-codon) for a particular amino acid; and 'wobble' base-pairing, i.e. permitting non-standard base-pairing at the 3rd anti-codon position.
Source: RNAcentral